RNAcentral lists this unclassified non-coding RNA (4704 nucleotides) under Nilaparvata lugens (brown planthopper). Its description in RNAcentral is "uncharacterized LOC111045046, transcript variant X1". Lineage: Eukaryota; Metazoa; Arthropoda; Insecta; Hemiptera; Delphacidae. The record is from RNAcentral.
ACUCUUCUUUAUAAAAAUCUCUUCGAAAUUAUGUGAUUUUCUAAGACGUUUGUUCUCUGGGCUCCAUCUUAAGAUUCUACUGCACACCCACCUAACAAGCUGAAAAGUAAGCAUAUUGCUUACACUCAUACCUCAAGAAUGGAUUGAACUAUUUCCUUGAAAGUUCGUAGGACUCAACUAUAUGCUUUUACAGAGAGCAUACGCUUUUCAUAAUUUCAUUAUUUCUUCAAGUUUUUCUUAUUUUAGCUAUUUAAACAUGAAUUUGCUAUUUUGGAAAAGAAGCAUCGAGAAACGAAUUUGAAAAUACAGUGACCUUUAGAAUAACAACACAAAUCUAAAUCCGUUUGAAUUUUGUUCAAAUUCCUAAUAGUUUUGCAAUAAACUGAGUCGUUAAAUUGCAAAUUUGAACCAAAAAUGAACCGUUACAUUGCCAACCUAGUUCGAGGGUUAUUCUCCAGAGAGCUCUACUGUUGAAACGUAACCCCCACCACCUACUACUUACAUACUAAGACUGCCCAGCAGUGUAUCAAUGAAUGAAUUGAAUGAAUGACCACAAGAAAGAGUGGGAAUGGGAGGGGAAUAGAUGAGAAGUCUGUUACACUCUCUCUCUGUCUCUCAAUUCCAGCUAGCUUUUGCCAUAUCCAUGCCAUGUGUGACUUAUUAGUUAGUUGAAACGUGACAGUGACAGUUCAUCCAGUCAUUUGUGAUAAGUUACUAUGGGUUUUCAUUUAUAGAAACGUUUUGCCUUGUUUAUUCUAGACAAUCCUUGUUAGUGAAUAAUACUUUUUCUAUUCUAUUCCUAUUGACUUCGAAUCACGUGAAAUGUUAUAAAAAUGUUGAAGUGCAUGCGACCAAAUUAUUUAUCAUAAAAAAUGGACGAAACGCCGAAGCCUCAUCAAAGUCGCCGACGCUUUAGACACAAAAGUGGACGCAGAUUGAAACUUAGCGCGAAACCGCUUAAACGAAGAGGAACAGCGUUAAUUCAAUACUGGGCUUCCAAAAGGUAAGCUAAUAUUUGAUACACAUCCAUAAUUUCCUUCAUCAAGAACCAUAACAAUCAAUAUAUCUCCAUUUGUAAUUUGAGUAAUAAAGCUUCAAUUCUCAAUCGAAUAUACAAUUAUACAUGUCAACGUUUUUAGAAAUAUUGAACAGUUUCACGAUUCUAUGCUAUGAAAGCUCAGGGAACUUGGAAAACACCCAUUCAAAAAAUGUCAAUUGUCAAUUACGAAUAGUGUAAUCGGCAGACCUAUCUUACACUAAUUUUACUGCAUUUUCCAUAAUAUAUUUUCACUAUUUUUUGAAUGGGAAAUUCGUCAUUGCCACCUAUGAAUAGUCCUAUUGAUCUUGUUUUUUUUGUAAUUCCAGGGGCAGAGGCAGAAGUGAAGCUCAGACCGAAGAGUAUAAUGACUCCGAAAAUUCUACGAUAAAUACGGCCUCUGACGCAGAUUUCGUCGCUGAAGAAAGCAAUGUCUGUGACACUUGUCCAGAAAACAAAGACGUUUACGACACUCAUACAGAAAUAAUUGCAGAAGAAAGAAAAAGAACAGAAAGCAGCAUCACCAAAUUAGAAGGUAGACGAAUAGUGGACAUCAAUUCGUUUAUUGUGCAAAUUCAACAAAUCGAUGACCACUUACCAUUUCAUUGCGGUUUUAAAGAUAUGGUAGUAGUGAAAGAACGAAGAAUAGGAUUAAAUUCGUGUAUAACAUUGAAGUGUAAAAUGUGCAAUGAAAAGAAAUCACUGUGGACAAAUUUUUCAAACGAAAACACCAUGGAUGUGAAUACAUCAGCAGUUUCCGGUACAAUCAGCACAGGAGGAGGACAUGCACAGCUGGAAGAGGUUAUGUCAUCCCUAGACAUUCCCUGCAUGACCUACCACACCUUUAGGAAGUAUCAUGACCGAGUAGCUGAAGCCUGGAAGGAAACCGCCGCAAAAUCAAUGGAGAUGGCAGCAGAAGAAGAAAAGCGGGAAGCGAUCAAAAGGGGAGACGUUGAUAGUGAUGGAGUACCUUUAUUGACUGUUGUUGCGGAUGGCUGUUGGGCGAAGCGCUCCUAUCGUACCAAAUAUAAUUCCCUCUCUGGUGUGGCUGCUAUUGUUGGAUACCACACCAAGAAAGUAUUAUACGUUGGAGUGAAGAACAAAUACUGUACGCUUUGUGUACGGGCUGAACGAUCGGGUAAGCAGGCAAAAGAGCAUGUAUGUUUCAAGAAUUGGGGAACACAUCAAAGUUCUACAAGUAUGGAGGCUGCACUUAUUGCUGAGGGAUUUUCAUUGAGUGAAGAAAUGUAUGGGGUACGAUACAAUCGGCUUAUUGCUGACGGUGAUAGUAGUGUCUAUAAAACGUUGCUUGAUCGGAGGCCCUAUAAGAAUACUACUAUACUUAAAAUUGAGUGUAGAAACCAUCUUUUACGAAACUACUGCAAUAAAAUUAGAGAGAUUGCUCUGACAAGCGAUAAAGGACAUAGCCCUAUUACGUUACGCAAGAAGAUAGGUGACAGGCUACUAAGACUAAGAUACGGAGUUACAAGAGCAGUGAUAUACCAUCAGAAAAAUCCUAACAAAAUUGAAAGGAUCGAAAUGUUGAAAGAGGACAUUUUGAAUGGACCGAAUCACGUUUUUGGGGACCAUGGAAACUGCAAAAAUUAUUUUUGCAGUGGUACAGACCUACGCAACUUACCAAAUUUAGUGCCUAGUCUAGAAGCAGUUGGGCUUUUUCAGCGAGUCAAAAAUGCUGCUCGUUUUUUGAGUCUACAAGCCUCUAGUUUACUUGAAGAUGUCGACAGCAACUACGUGGAGCACUACAACCACGCAGUUGCUAAAUUUGUCGGUGGAAAGAGAAUAAAUUUCACAUCUCGCGGAAGCUACCAGGCAAGGUGUGAGGGAGCUGUUGUUCAGCACAAUACGGGAAUGGCCCUGUACAACUUGCAUAAAACUAUGUGCAAUUCUUCAAGUCCUGGAAGAUUCUAUAAGUCAGUCCAGGUUAAACGUAGAAAAAAGAUAGAACAGGACAGAAGAAGGAGAAAUAUAUCAUCAAGAAAAUCACUUUUCUCUACAGCCAUCCAAAAAACAACAGUUGACCAUGAUUACGGACCGAAUGCUCAACGCCCUGACAUCAGUGAAAAAGAACUUGUCAUUGAGAAAAAUAGGUUUUUAGCCUCACUGGUGUUAUCAGAAGAGAGCCGUCACCAGUUGGAAAGGAGGACUGUCCUGCAGCAUCACUCCGCUGAAUGGCUUGAAGAGAGACAGAAAAGGAUUACUGCAUCAAAUUUUGGACGAAUAAGCAAGAGAAGGCCAAAUACCGGAUGUGAAAAUGUAGUUCGCGAACUAUUGUAUGGGGGCGGUAAAAAUUGUUCAGCAAUGGAGUAUGGGAGGAUGAACGAGGAGGCUGCUCUAAAAAAAGUUAGUGAGAUAGCUGGACAAAAAAUUUUGAAAUGUGGGCUAUUCAUUGAUGCCGAUUUUCCAUUUCUGGCAGCAUCGCCGGAUGGAUUAUUAGAAGAUGGGCAUGGUAUUGUGGAGGUCAAAUGCCCUCAGACAAUAAAGGACCUACUCCCAAGGGAAGCAGCAAAGUUGAAAAUAUUGAAAUUUUGCAAAAUUGAAGAUACAGAUAUCGAAUUGAACACAAACCAUAACUACUACUAUCAAAUACAGGGACAACUCCACAUUACGAAACGUCAGUACUGCUUAUUUUGUAUAUGGUCGCCAAAGGGGACAGAAGUUGUUACUGUAUACAAAGAUGAGCAGUUCUGGAGUUCGAAGAUUCUUGAACAAGUGAAAAAAUUUUAUAUGGACUGUGUAUUGCCGGAGCUUGUUGAUCCUCGACACACGCGUUCAAUGCCAAUUCGAAAUCCAGAUUGGAUUAUUGAGGCGCAAGAAGCACGUAAGAAGAAAUAAUGAUGACACAAACAUAACUGGAAAAUAAAAACAAAUAUUGUCACAUACCACUUAUUUAUUAUUAAAACUUACAUUAAAGUAUUAUUAAAGUAAUACUUUAUUAAAGUAAACUUACAUUAAAGUAAUGUACCUAGGUUUCAUAAUGGCCUAGGCUUACAUUACUUUAAUGUAAGUUUUAAUAAUAAAUAAGUGAAGGAGGAAUGAGAAAAAGAUUAAAAAGAAGGAGGAGAAGGUGAAGAAGGAGGAAUAGGAGAAGAAAGAGGAGAUGGUGAAGAAGGAGAACAAGAAGAAGGAGAACAAGAAGAAGUAAGGCUUAUUAUUUCUCAAAAUUCACGUAAUAUUGUUUGAAGACCAUCAACAUAUUUUAUCGUCUUAUCUGUCUCAACUUCCGCUGAAAUAUAUUUAAAAUACAUAGAAAUAUAUUUUCAAUUACUUCUUUUAUAUUAUUUUUUUAUUAUUAAUAAUACUUUUUUAGAUUAAUUUUUCCAUUUUAAAACAAGUAAUGAGUUUGUACUUCUCGCACACAUUUUGUGUUUGAGAAAACUCACAAAGAAAAGUUUUCUUCUGAUAUUGAUAAAUUUGAAGUUGUAGGGUAUAAUAGUAGCUUCAGUUUCUAGUGUAAUAGUAGUUCUAGUAACAGUAUAGUGUAUAUUUAUGUGAUAUUGAAUUCCUGGGCUGACUACCUUUAGGAUAUAAUUCAAUUAUCUUCUGACUUAUUGUAGUUUAUCAAUGUAUAUAUAGAAAUAUAUUUUCAAUUACUUCUUUUAUAUUAUUUUUUUAUAAAACAUAAAAAACUUACUUAAUACUUACUUACU